UACGGGGGGGGCAAGCGUUGUUCGGAAUUACUAGGCGUAAAGGGCAGGUAGGUGGUUUGGUAAGUCUGUUGUGAAAGCUCCUGGCUUAACUGGGAGAGGCCAACGGAUACUACCAAGCUUGAGUAUAGGAGAGGUUACUGGAAUUCCCGGUGUAGCGGUGAAAUGCGCAGAUAUCAGGAAGAACACCAAUGGCGAAAGCAGCUCUCUGGGACGGUACUGACGCUGAGACGCGAAAGCGUGGGGAGCGAACAGG
Molecule: ribosomal RNA, 253 nt
Filed under: uncultured bacterium
Lineage: Bacteria
Description: partial 16S ribosomal RNA
Rfam family: Bacterial small subunit ribosomal RNA
Source: RNAcentral